This 542-nucleotide ribosomal RNA is filed under the name uncultured bacterium. RNAcentral's name for it is "partial 16S ribosomal RNA". It matches the Rfam family "Bacterial small subunit ribosomal RNA", at positions 355 to 888 of the family's 1533-position model. The record is from RNAcentral.
UGGGGAAUUUUGGACAAUGGGCGAAAGCCUGAUCCAGCAAUGCCGCGUGUGUGAAGAAGGCCUUCGGGUUGUAAAGCACUUUUGUCCGGAAAGAAAUCCUUGGCUCUAAUACAGUCGGGGGAUGACGGUACCGGAAGAAUAAGCACCGGCUAACUACGUGCCAGCAGCCGCGGUAAUACGUAGGGUGCAAGCGUUAAUCGGAAUUACUGGGCGUAAAGCGUGCGCAGGCGGUUUGCUAAGACCGAUGUGAAAUCCCCGGGCUCAACCUGGGAACUGCAUUGGUGACUGGCAGGCUAGAGUAUGGCAGAGGGGGGUAGAAUUCCACGUGUAGCAGUGAAAUGCGUAGAGAUGUGGAGGAAUACCGAUGGCGAAGGCAGCCCCCUGGGCCAAUACUGACGCUCAUGCACGAAAGCGUGGGGGAGCAAACAGGAUUAGAUACCCUGGUAGUCCACGCCCUAAAGCGAUGUCAACUAGUUGUUGGGGAUUCAUUUCCUUAGUAACGUAGCUAACGCGUGAAGUUGACCGCCUGGGGAGUACGGUCG